This 223-nucleotide ribosomal RNA is filed under the name Escherichia coli. RNAcentral's name for it is "partial 23S ribosomal RNA". It matches the Rfam family "Bacterial large subunit ribosomal RNA", at positions 2126 to 2348 of the family's 2925-position model. Lineage: Bacteria; Pseudomonadati; Pseudomonadota; Gammaproteobacteria; Enterobacterales; Enterobacteriaceae. The record is from RNAcentral.
GAGCCUUGAUGUGUAGGAUAGGUGGGAGGCUUUGAAGUGUGGACGCCAGUCUGCAUGGAGCCGACCUUGAAAUACCACCCUUUAAUGUUUGAUGUUCUAACGUUGGCCCCUGAUCGGGGUUGCGGACAGUGUCUGGUGGGUAGUUUGACUGGGGCGGUCUCCUCCUAAAGAGUAACGGAGGAGCACGAAGGUUGGCUAAUCCUGGUCGGACAUCAGGAGGUUA